Molecule: ribosomal RNA, 489 nt
Filed under: uncultured Glomeromycotina
Lineage: Eukaryota; Fungi; Glomeromycota
Description: SSU rRNA
Rfam family: Eukaryotic small subunit ribosomal RNA
Source: RNAcentral
AGCAGCCGCGGUAAUUCCAGCUCCAGUAGCGUAUAUUAAAGUUGUUGCAGUUAAAAAGCUCGUAGUUGAAUUUCGGGGUUAGUAGGUUGGUCAUGCCUCUGGUAUGUACUGGUCUCACUGAUUCCUCCUUCCUGAUGAGCCGUAAUGCCAUUAAUUUGGUGUUGCGGGGAAUUUGGACUGUUACUUUGAAAAAAUUAGAGUGUUUAAAGCAGGCAUUUUUGCUCGAAUACAUUAGCAUGGAAUAAUAGAAUAGGACGGCAUGGUUCUAUUUUGUUGGUUUCUAGGAUCACCGUAAUGAUUAAUAGGGAUAGUUGGGGGCAUUAGUAUUCAAUUGUCAGAGGUGAAAUUCUUGGAUUUAUUGAAGACUAACUACUGCGAAAGCAUUCGCCAAGGAUGUUUUCAUUAAUCAGUGAACGAAAGUUAGGGGAUCGAAGACGAUCAGAUACCGUCGUAGUCUUAACCAUAAACUAUGCCGACUAGGGAUCGGGC